Long non-coding RNA from Carassius gibelio (silver crucian carp), 625 nucleotides. RefSeq lists it as uncharacterized. NCBI's taxonomy places the organism in Eukaryota, Metazoa, Chordata, Actinopteri, Cypriniformes, Cyprinidae. The record is from RefSeq and is a predicted model, not a curated record. The transcript is spliced from 2 exons.
GAUGUUCUUCGACCAUUAGCGUGAAAAAGCCUAGGAUUCUCCCUGAAAAGAUUCCAAUUAUUAACAGAGCAGUUUCUGUUCUUUACACCAUGACAUUAACCAUUCGUUUAAAGCAACAAGUCUACUGAACCUUUCGUGUCCUCGUUGAUACAUGGGGAGUGGUCCUGACACAAUAAUAGUCUCCACCCAGAACUGCACCUGCGGCUUUCUCGAAAACCAGAGGGGGAGAAGUCGUCGCCCGGAGCCUGGCUUUCAUCCUCUGCUGUGGAUGCACCGAGUGUUACGAUUCAUGAAUUGCACUGUCUCUCCCUUGGCUUGUUUAGAGUGCAGAUCGUUGUGGUUCUUUCCUGUGUUCCGUUCUGUUCCCCUGGCUGUGUUGGAUCGUGGAUUCCCCCGUUGUUCUUCAUCGAGUCUUCUUGUUCCCUGCACCGGAAUCAUGAGCACCUUCACUGGGAUUACAGCACUGGCUCACCGAGGAUCAUCACUGUUGUCCACCGAGGUCCCUGCGUCACACACCAUCUGAGCUUGUGAUCGUCGCCACUCUCCCCCUGUGGUAUCAGCGUCAUUGUUGUCUGUUUGUAUGACGAUAAUUAUAUCUUGUCAUUAAACCGCCUUGAAUUUGCAA